RNAcentral lists this ribosomal RNA (257 nucleotides) under Escherichia coli O113:H21 str. 07-4224. RNAcentral describes it as "partial 16S ribosomal RNA". It matches the Rfam family "Bacterial small subunit ribosomal RNA", at positions 1 to 252 of the family's 1533-position model. The record is from RNAcentral. Lineage: Bacteria; Pseudomonadati; Pseudomonadota; Gammaproteobacteria; Enterobacterales; Enterobacteriaceae.
UUAAAUUGAAGAGUUUGAUCAUGGCUCAGAUUGAACGCUGGCGGCAGGCCUAACACAUGCAAGUCGAACGGUAACAGGAAGCAGCUUGCUGCUUCGCUGACGAGUGGCGGACGGGUGAGUAAUGUCUGGGAAACUGCCUGAUGGAGGGGGAUAACUACUGGAAACGGUAGCUAAUACCGCAUAACGUCGCAAGACCAAAGAGGGGGACCUUCGGGCCUCUUGCCAUCGGAUGUGCCCAGAUGGGAUUAGCUAGUAGG